AGUGAACGCUGGCGGUAGGCCUAACACAUGCAAGUCGAACGGCAGCACAGUAAGAGCUUGCUCUUACGGGUGGCGAGUGGCGGACGGGUGAGGAAUACAUCGGAAUCUACUUUUUCGUGGGGGAUAACGUAGGGAGACUUACGCUAAUACCGCAUACGACCUACGGGUGAAAGCAGGGGAUCUUCGGACCUUGCGCAAUUGAAUGAGCCGAUGUCGGAUUAGCUAGUUGGCGGGGUAAAGGCCCACCAAGGCGACGAUCCGUAGCUGGUCUGAGAGGAUGAUCAGCCACACUGGAACUGAGACACGGUCCAGACUCCUACGGGAGGUAGCAGUGGGGAAUAUUGGACAAUGGGCGCAAGCCUGAUCCAGCCAUACCGCGUGGGUGAAGAAGGCCUUCGGGUUGUAAAGCCCUUUUGUUGGGAAAGAAAAGCAGCAGGUUAAUACCCCGCUGUUCUGACGGUACCCAAAGAAUAAGCACCGGCUAACUUCGUG
Molecule: ribosomal RNA, 492 nt
Filed under: uncultured bacterium
Lineage: Bacteria
Description: partial 16S ribosomal RNA
Rfam family: Bacterial small subunit ribosomal RNA
Source: RNAcentral